ACAAGGGGGGGAAUAAGCCCUUGUUUCCCCCUUUGUUCCCAAACGCAAUGUUUGGUUCCCGGGAACAGUAGUUCCCGGGAAUCUGGAACUAGCUGGUAUAAGACUGGAACUGCUGUUCCACCCGUUUUCGGGAACAAGCUAGUUCCUUGAUGAGAACAAGAUUAAUUAAAAUCUAAAUUUAAUUUUAAUGACAGUAAAUUAUUAAUUAAUCUAAUUAAUAUAUUUAAAUCAUUAUUUAUUACUUUAAUAAUUAAAUAAUUUAAAUAAUUUAUUAUUUAUAAUUAAAUAUUAAUAAUUAGAUAAUUAUUAUUAUUAAUUUAUUAUUUAUAAUUAAUUAUAAAUAAUUAAUAAUAUUCAUUAUUUUUUUAUUAAUAAUUAUUAAUAAUUAUUAUUCUUAAUGACAAUCGAUAUUAUUAUUAAUUUAUUAUUUAUAAUUAAUUAUUAAUAAUUAAUAAUUAUUAUUAUUUAUUAUUAAUUAUUAAUAAUUUUUAUUCUUAAUAAUUAGAUAAUCGAU
RNAcentral lists this long non-coding RNA (514 nucleotides) under Ananas comosus (pineapple). Its description in RNAcentral is "long non-coding RNA (ACOM_LNC042671)". Lineage: Eukaryota; Viridiplantae; Streptophyta; Magnoliopsida; Poales; Bromeliaceae. The record is from RNAcentral.